UGCAAAACACUUACCUGAUGAUAUACCAGAAAACAAGGAGAGCAGGAGAAUAAGAAGAGUGGCGAACUCUGUAAAUGUGGUUUGUGAUCACGACUUCACAUGGAUUAGAUUGAUACUGGAAGAGAUUGGGGGUGCAACUGAUGGAUUGCCCUAUCUAUUUGCAACAUUUAUGACAUCUAAUAUCUGGUAUGCAACUGCUUUCAACGUUGAAACUGGAGGCUUCAGUAACAACGUUCAUUGUUUAGCCAGGUGUGUAUGUGCAGUGAUCGCGGGAAGUGAACUCUUAAGACUCGAAAGAGAGUUUCGACAGAAACACUCUUUCAAAUGGACACAUUAGUGAAUCCUUAGACCCUGAGGCACGAAACUACUCUUCCAUAGAGGUGAACAUAAAGUCCACAACGCAGCUUUACAUCAAGUUCUCAGCAGGAAUAAUUCUGGAUUCUUGGAGUGAAAGCAAUAGGUCUUACCUCGUGGCGGUGCUGAUCAAAUCUGUGAGAUCUCACGACACACUCCACGGAGCUUGUUGGAGUCUUACACCAUUCUUUGCUCCAUCUACAGCCAAUACUACUCGAAUUCUUCCACUCCCUUUGCAUUAAUAAGUGGGUUCUUCUCCGGCCAUGUCCCUGGCCCAUGGUUCCCUGUCAACUCCACAAUCAAAUGCAAACGAGCCGGGCUAUCCCAAAGCGUCAUCCACCCACAGCCAAGAUCAGUAGGACAUGGACAAUUUCAGUGUAAGAAGCAUUGAUAGCAUCAGCUAGCACUGGUCCUAGUCCCCUGCCCAGAUUUGUUGCGUCGAGAUCUGGUCCUAUAUCGUAUAAAUGAAAAUCGUGAAGCAAUUUGUAUAUUUGUUACGACUUUGAUAUUCCUAGUGCAACUUGUUUUCGUCUGGUAAUAACAUUGCCCAUCUCGAUUGUGAU
Salvia miltiorrhiza (redroot sage) is the source of this 917-nucleotide long non-coding RNA. RefSeq lists it as uncharacterized. The transcript is spliced from 3 exons. The record is from RefSeq and is a predicted model, not a curated record. NCBI's taxonomy places the organism in Eukaryota, Viridiplantae, Streptophyta, Magnoliopsida, Lamiales, Lamiaceae.